This is a long non-coding RNA of Oreochromis aureus, 1429 nucleotides long. RefSeq lists it as uncharacterized. The record is from RefSeq and is a predicted model, not a curated record. Lineage: Eukaryota; Metazoa; Chordata; Actinopteri; Cichliformes; Cichlidae. The transcript has 3 exons.
CUUGUGUGGCUUAUUACAAAUGGAUGAAACCACAUUUUACCUUAAUGAAGACAGUAAUAUUUAAUAAGGUGUAGAAAAAAAGAGGUGAGUUGUUUGUUGCUGUGGUAAAUAAAGAAGUGUACUGAGUCUUUUGGACUACACAGAGUGAUGUAGUAUUGACUCUGAUGCUGAUUUGAGUUGUCUCAUACUGUAUUUUUGUGCUUUGUCUUUUGUUACACAGAGUGAAAGAGAUCUUUGGUUUUGCCUUUGCUGACUGCUGAUCUGAUCGUCUCAAGUCUGGUGACCUGCUGCAGAAAACCCUCUCCCUCUAUCGUUGACAAGCAAUUAACAAGCAUAUUCAGUCUGUCCUAUCACUCUCCCUCUCCCUGCUCCAUCUUUUUUGACAAGCCAUUCUAUCUUCUAUCAUUUCUCCGCCAUGAGCUCUAUCUAAUUUUGACAAGCUUGAACCUGUGUUGACAAGAAAUCUAAGUUUGACAAGAAAUCUAAGUUUGACAAGAAACCAAGUUUUUGGAAAUUGAAGUUACCACAACUUCGUCGAUCUGUUUUCAGAAUUCUGAGAGAUCUCCGCUCUCACUGCUCCAUCUUUCCUGUCUUUAAACUCUCUCACAUCCACUCAUUUUGCUGGAAAUUACAAGUAAAAAGUUGAAUAUACAGUAAUAGAAUUACAGUACAGUAGAACUCACUGUAGAAACUACUUACAGAGCCCUACAUUUGUCAUUUUAAUUUUGCAUUACACUUUGAAAUAAACACUGAUAGUUUGGCUUACAAGUGCAAUUUGAUAAAUUAUAUAAACUUAUAUACACCUUUUUUGAGAUAUAUUUGUAGUAAGAUAAUCUGGUUAUUUUGUAAUUCAGACUCUUAUAUUCACAUAAAUAUUAAAUUUGAUUCAAAUACAUUUUUCAAGUCUGUUUCAUUGGUUAUAACAUUUGACUACAAGUUUAUACUAUUAUUAUUGAAGGACAAACCCUUUUUUGUCACUCAGUGUAAGUAUUCAAUUAGUUAUCAUCUAGAGGCUCUCCUGAGAACCCAGACUUCCUGUUUCCUGACUGCCGCAGAACAUCCAGCUGAAGAAUCCCCAUCGCCUGUCAUCUGAUCACCACACCAUCACAGCUCCUUAUAUUUGCUUUAAAUUUUAGAUAUCUGAAAGAUUUACACAAAGUCUACUUCAAAGCUAAGAGUUUUAUUAUAGCCUGUUGGUUGAUUAUUGAGAUUUAUUUUGCAUAUUACAUUGCAGAAGAAUAGACCUAUUUGUUAUCCGGUCUGGUUAAAAAAAAAAAAAAAUAGAAAUAAUAUACAGUUUUUGAAAAAGCUACAAUAAAACAGACCAAAGUGUUUUGAAAGAACUUUAAAUAAGUUAAACUAAAUAUUGAGUUUGUAUUUAAGUGAGCCUUUUACAUCAAUUCUGAUAAAGCUCUGAUUUAAGAGAAAG